AACACCAUGGUCAAAAUACAAAAUCCGAAGAUACAAAUAGAAUUAACAUAAAAACUGAAAAAAUACAAAAACUUAACCCACUAAGGGCUCAGGACUCCUCUUCGCUACCGGCCUCAGAACCGGUAGCCUCAUCAUCAUCAUCAGCAUCAUCAGCAUCAGCGUCCACCCCCUCACCAUAGACUGGCCUGUCCACAGGCCAAUUAGCGUUAAGCAUAAACUGCUCACGCGCCAACAAUGC
RNAcentral lists this long non-coding RNA (238 nucleotides) under Lathyrus oleraceus (garden pea). Its description in RNAcentral is "Pisum sativum (pea) long non-coding RNA (PSAT_LNC029041)". Lineage: Eukaryota; Viridiplantae; Streptophyta; Magnoliopsida; Fabales; Fabaceae. The record is from RNAcentral.